This 422-nucleotide ribosomal RNA is filed under the name uncultured eukaryote. Its description in RNAcentral is "bacterial SSU rRNA". It matches the Rfam family "Eukaryotic small subunit ribosomal RNA", at positions 592 to 1018 of the family's 1831-position model. The record is from RNAcentral.
CAAUGGCGUAUAUUAAAGUUGUUGCAGUUAAAAAGCUCGUAGUUGGAUUUCUGGCAGGAGCGACCGGUCGGCCCAAGUGGUGUGUACUAGUGUUGCAUCUGGCCAUAUUUGCGGAGAGCGUGUGUGGCAUUAAUUUGUCGUGCACGGGACCCGCAUCGUUUACUGUGAGAAAAUUAGAGUGUUUAAAGCAGGCCUUCGCCUUGAAUACAUUAGCAUGGAAUAAUAAGAUAGGACUUUGGUCUAUUUUGUUGGUUUGCAGACCGAAGUAAUGAUUAAUAGGGAUAGUUGGGGGUAUUUAUAUUCCAAUGUCAGAGGUGAAAUCUUAGAUUUUUGGAAGAUAAACUUAUGCGAAAGCAUUUACCAAGGAUGUUUUCUAUUAAUCAAGAACGAAAGUUAGGGGAUCGAAGACGAUUAGAUACCAU